RNAcentral lists this non-coding RNA (92 nucleotides) under unclassified sequences. The record is from RNAcentral.
GUAAAAAUAUCGCCGGAUAUUUUAUUUAAUUACAAGCAUUAGAGAUUUAUACCAUUAGGCCUUGGGGUAUAAACUAUCUAGUGCUUUUAUUU